GAUGAACGCUGGCGGCGUGCCUAAUACAUGCAAGUCGAGCGAAUGGAUUAAGAGCUUGCUCUUAUGAAGUUAGCGGCGGACGGGUGAGUAACACGUGGGUAACCUGCCCAUAAGACUGGGAUAACUCCGGGAAACCGGGGCUAAUACCGGAUAACAUUUUGAACCGCAUGGGUCGAAAUUGAAAGGCGGCUUCGGCUGUCACUUAUGGAUGGACCCGCGUCGCAUUAGCUGGUUGGUGAGGUAACGGCUCACCAAGGCAACGAUGCGUAGCCGACCUGAGAGGGUGAUCGGCCACCCUGGGACUGGGAAACGGCCCAGACUCCUACGGGAGGCAGCAGUAGGGAAUCUUCCGCAAUGGACGAAAGUCUGAGGGAGCAACGCCGCGUGAGUGAUGAAGGCUUUCGGGUCGUAAAACUCUGUUGUUAGGGAAGAACAAGUGCUAGUUGAAUAAGCUGGCACCUUGACGGUACCUAACCAGAAAGCCACGGCUAACUACGUGCCAGCCGCCGCAGUAA
Molecule: ribosomal RNA, 515 nt
Filed under: uncultured bacterium
Lineage: Bacteria
Description: partial 16S ribosomal RNA
Rfam family: Bacterial small subunit ribosomal RNA
Source: RNAcentral